AAGCAGCUGAGGGUGGGGUCAGGCGGGAAAUCGAUCUUUCUAGAAGCAGGAAUGGGGAGAAUCCUGGAGGACGGGAAUGUCUGGAGGCUCGGGGUGGCUAUUCUGGGACUUUUCAGGGACUCUACAGCCCCUGAGCUUUUCACUGCUGGUUUGGCCUCCAAAUUUUUGGGUUUUUGGGGAGCAUCUGGCGAUCUGCUCCUCUGGCAGAGCUGCCGCCCAUCCCCACAACUUGGCGAAGGUGACAAAAAUCCCGUUGGGGUGGUUUGGGCGCCCUUGCUGUCGCAUCAGGGAUUUUACCCGCUGCGGAUCCAGGUGGCACCGAGGGCACCUCCAGCUCUUCCCAGCGGCUUUUUCCCCGCAUCCCUGGAGGGAGGGAAGGGCUGGAAGUAGGGCUCGGGCCCGCCUCCCCAGCUCGGCGGUGACGGGCACGGCGCUUUUCCCUCCCUGUCACUUCGCUCCCCUCCCUUUCAGCACCGCCACCGCGCUGUCACCGCCGGCAGCGGGGACUUUCCUCGGGCCCACCGGGGUCCCCGAGCUGUUACCGCGCCGCAAACACCGAGCACGAGGUUCCUCCUUGAUGGGAGGAACGAAAGGAGCCCAAACCCAGGAAUCGGAGGCUGCGAAUUUCUGAGCUGCCCUGCUCACACGCGGCUUCCCCGAGGCAGGAAGGCUGAUUUCCUUCCAGGAGCCCCAAUCCAGAUGGUCAGAGGCGCCUUCCAAGCUCCCAGAACCUGUUGGGAAAGGCCAUUAUGUCUCAAUAGCAGUUUUGCAUCCCGGCCCGUUGGAAUCAGCUGCUCCAACACCUCUUUCCCAAUCUGUUCUGGGCUCGUGGAGAGCCAGUCUGGUCAGGCUUGGCCGAUUUUGGUGAAGGAAUAAAAUCCCGUGUUUAUUCCCGUUUUUUUUUUUUUUUUUUUUUUUUUUUGUCACCCCCCCCCCCCCCCCCCCCCCCCCCCCCCCCCCCCCCUUUUUUUUGUGUCAGGCAAGCGUGGAGCCGUUCAGUAUAAAAGGCCCGAGGUUGUUUUUUGACACUCAACGUUUGUCUUUGUCAUGAGAAUCCCUGACAUGUUUUAUUUUCGAGGAAUAAAGCUGUGAACUCCCCGGGAAGAUGCCGAGGAGGAAUUCCCAGCCCAGGGCAUUUUCCUCCUCUCAAAGCAAAGCUCAGGGUCAGGUCGUGCUCCGAAGGAUGCAGAGAUGGAAUUAAAUCCAACAGGGAUUUAAUUGCCACUCGAACACCCAUUCCCUGCCCCAAAACAACCCCUGGAUCAGCCCGGCUGAGCCGAGGGAGGGAUUUUGCUGGAAAAUGGAGAGGAGGAAUUCCCAGGGUUGGGCUCAGUAUCCUGGGAGGCUCAGGAAUGUGGAAUUCCGGAGGUGCAGGCCCUCAAGGGCGGAAAAAAAGCGCUAAUGAGGGGCUGUGCCCAGCACGGGUGUUACUGGUUUAACUGGAACGGCUGGGAGCCCAAACUGGGCCCCCGGGAGGGGAUUUAAGGUGCCCCCUCCCAGCCCCGCUGGCCCCUGCCCCGCGGCCAAAGCGUUUCUGUGCUGGGGGAAGGAUUCCAUCAGGAAUUUUAUCGGGUUCCUUUUAAAAAAAAGGGGUGA
Ficedula albicollis (Collared flycatcher) is the source of this 1596-nucleotide long non-coding RNA. The record is from Ensembl. Lineage: Eukaryota; Metazoa; Chordata; Aves; Passeriformes; Muscicapidae.